AGUCAUUGAAGUGCUACCAACUCAGCUAAUCCCAGAUGACAAUGAAGGCAAAGUUUUGAGAGUGAGAUUGAUAAUGAAGGAAGGAGUGAAAAACUUCAAUCCAGUUUACCUGUUCGAUGAAGGAUCGACAAUCUCAUGGAUUCCUUGUGGUAGGAAGUUGACUUGUUCUUACCCUGGCAUCAAAUUCACCUAUGGCCCUGAUACCUACUUUGGCAAUGAGGUAUAUGUUGCAUUCUUUCUCUACCUGCCAAAACUUGAUCAUACUAAUCAAUCGACUCUCUUGCCUUGUGGUCGACAUUCCAUUCCCCUUAGUGAUAGGUGCUCGUUCUAUUCUGAUUUGAAUGAGCCGAGCUCCCUAGGUACAUAUGGUUGGCCUUUAUGGUGUCUCAGUGAUACAAACAUAGAAAAUUUGGAAAGG
RNAcentral lists this long non-coding RNA (418 nucleotides) under Solanum tuberosum (potato). Its description in RNAcentral is "long non-coding RNA (STUB_LNC008489)". The record is from RNAcentral. Lineage: Eukaryota; Viridiplantae; Streptophyta; Magnoliopsida; Solanales; Solanaceae.